GCAGCAACAUCAACAAUGACAGCAAAGGCAGCAACUGUAGCAGCAACAUCCCCAGCAACCCCCCUCAACAUCAGCUGUUCCUUGUAUAAAGUAAAGGGAUGUACAGGAAGCUCACUCAGGAAACAGGAAAGGUGUUUGCACACUCCUGCACAAUGCAGUUAUUAGCAGCUUGAAGAGGUUGUUGGGGAGGUUUAUGCUCAGAAGUAUUGUCACGGUAAUACAGAAAAUAGCUGGAGCUACAUUAUUAUCUUUUAAAAAGUGGUUGGUUACCCACUGGGAGUGUCACUUGGAACUACUGGGUGAAAAACAUGCAACUUGUCUUCAAGACUAUUGCUAUCUUACAUUUCAUGUAUACACAGACAAAAAUUAAAACAACAGUGUCAUUUAUUAAAAUUACAUUUUAAAGUGGUCUAAUCAAUUAAUAUCAUUAUGAUUAUUAUUAUUAUUAUUAUUAUGUACUUUUUAUAGUACAUAACAGAAAUAUGAUGCAUAUUAAAAA
Long non-coding RNA from Cyprinus carpio carpio, 499 nucleotides. Lineage: Eukaryota; Metazoa; Chordata; Actinopteri; Cypriniformes; Cyprinidae. The record is from Ensembl.